GAUGAACGCUGGCGGCGUGCCUAACACAUGCAAGUCGAGCGAUUCUCUUCGGAGAAGAGCGGCGGACGGGUGAGUAACGCGUGGGUAACCUGCCCUGUACACACGGAUAACAUACCGAAAGGUAUGCUAAUACGAGAUAAUAUGCUUUUAUCGCAUGGUAGAAGUAUCAAAGCUCCGGCGGUACAGGAUGGACCCGCGUCUGAUUAGCUAGUUGGUAAGGUAACGGCUUACCAAGGCGACGAUCAGUAGCCGACCUGAGAGGGUGAUCGGCCACAUUGGAACUGAGACACGGUCCAAACUCCUACGGGAGGCAGCAGUGGGGAAUAUUGCACAAUGGGCGAAAGCCUGAUGCAGCAACGCCGCGUGAGCGAUGAAGGCCUUCGGGUCGUAAAGCUCUGUCCUCAAGGAAGAUAAUGACGGUACUUGAGGAGGAAGCCCCGGCUAACUACGUGCCAGCCGCCGCCGUAACAC
RNAcentral lists this ribosomal RNA (471 nucleotides) under uncultured bacterium. RNAcentral describes it as "bacterial SSU rRNA". It matches the Rfam family "Bacterial small subunit ribosomal RNA", at positions 28 to 526 of the family's 1533-position model. The record is from RNAcentral.